GAGUAAGACGCCAGCUAGGUAAACAGCGAUAGCAGCUGCCCGACCAGAAGAAGAAAAAAACGUUCUUUUAAACGGCUGGCAUUGGAAUAAGCGUGGAGCACAACAGAUCUGCCUUCAAAGGAAUUAAAAUGCAAAUAAACAAAGCAUUGAUUAUUGAAGUAUUCCCACAAGAAAUGAUAUUGCUAUUUGGUGAAGGUGAAGUGACGAUAAUAAGGAUGGUUGCUGCUGUCACAACUGGUGAAUGUGAACUGCUUAACAUUGCAAUUGAUACAAGGCAGAUGCCAAGGAGGACUAGAAUGGCUACUUGGAAUCUGCCAGUGGAAGGACCAACAUUUUAUGAAGUGAAAGUGUACCAGAUCAACAUUUGGCAGAAGGUGCAUCCCAAGACAAAUUCAAAACGGUUUGAAUGCUAUUUCAAGAAGAGGAAGAAGAGGAAUGCCAUUGUCCACUGAUCUGAAAGAGGUGAACGUGGUGGGAGGCCACUAUUUUACAUGUUGGAAUUGCAGCCAUACAUUUGAACCAUGCAAAUGCACAUAGCUGAGUGAAGUAUGUGGGCUAUGAUCAGCUCAAUCUAACAGUGAAAGGCAUUUCACAUUCAGAAGAUAUUUCCUUGAAAAAAUA
This is a long non-coding RNA of Salvelinus fontinalis (brook trout), 621 nucleotides long. RefSeq lists it as uncharacterized. Lineage: Eukaryota; Metazoa; Chordata; Actinopteri; Salmoniformes; Salmonidae. The transcript is spliced from 4 exons. The record is from RefSeq and is a predicted model, not a curated record.